GAUGAACGCUGGCGGCGUGCCUAAUACAUGCAAGUCGAGCGAACAGAUGAGAAGCUUGCUUCUCUGAUGUUAGCGGCGGACGGGUGAGUAACACGUGGGUAACCUACCUAUAAGACUGGGAUAACUCCGGGAAACCGGGGCUAAUACCGGAUAAUAUUUUGAACCGCAUGGUUCAAUAGUGAAAGACGGUUUCGGCUGUCACUUAUAGAUGGACCCGCGCCGAAUUAGCUAGUUGGUAAGGUAACGGCUUACCAAGGCGCCGAUACGUAGCCGACGUGGGAGGGUGACCGGCCACACUGGGACUGAGGCACGGUCCAGACUCCUACGGGAGGCAGCAGUAGGGAAUCUUCCGCAAUGGGCGAAAGCCUGACGGAGCAACGCCGCGUGAGUGAUGAAGGUCUUCGGAUCGUAAAACUCUGUUGUUAGGGAAGAACAAAUUUGUUAGUAACUGAACAAGUCUUGACGGUACCUAACCAGAAAGCCACGGCUAACUACGUGCCAGCAGCCGCGGUAA
Molecule: ribosomal RNA, 514 nt
Filed under: uncultured bacterium
Lineage: Bacteria
Description: partial 16S ribosomal RNA
Rfam family: Bacterial small subunit ribosomal RNA
Source: RNAcentral